UACGUAGGGUGCAAGCGUUGUCCGGAAUUAUUGGGCGUAAAGAGCUCGUAGGCGGUUUGUCGCGUCGGCUGUGAAAACCUGAGGCUCAACCUCAGGCCUGCAGUCGAUACGGGCAGACUAGAGUCCGGCAGGGGAGACUGGAAUUCCUGGUGUAGCGGUGAAAUGCGUAGAGAUGUGGAGGAACACCGAUGGCGCAAGGCA
RNAcentral lists this ribosomal RNA (201 nucleotides) under uncultured bacterium. Its description in RNAcentral is "partial 16S ribosomal RNA". It matches the Rfam family "Bacterial small subunit ribosomal RNA", at positions 524 to 723 of the family's 1533-position model. The record is from RNAcentral.